AAAUUGAAGAGUUUGAUCAUGGCUCAGAUUGAACGCUGGCGGCAGGCCUAACACAUGCAAGUCGAACGGUAACAGGAAGCAGCUUGCUGCUUUGCUGACGAGUGGCGGACGGGUGAGUAAUGUCUGGGAAACUGCCU
RNAcentral lists this ribosomal RNA (137 nucleotides) under Pseudomonas aeruginosa. RNAcentral describes it as "partial 16S ribosomal RNA". It matches the Rfam family "Bacterial small subunit ribosomal RNA", at positions 1 to 131 of the family's 1533-position model. The record is from RNAcentral. RNAcentral also lists the same sequence under 7 other names. Lineage: Bacteria; Pseudomonadati; Pseudomonadota; Gammaproteobacteria; Pseudomonadales; Pseudomonadaceae.